GACGAACGCUGGCGGCGUGCUUAACACAUGCAGGUCGAACGGAAAGGCCCUGCUUUUGUGGGGUGCUCGAGUGGCGAACGGGUGAGUAACACGUGAGUAACCUGCCCUUGACUUUGGGAUAACUUCAGGAAACUGGGGCUAAUACCGGAUAGGAGCUCCUGCUGCAUGGUGGGGGUUGGAAAGUUUCGGCGGUUGGGGAUGGACUCGCGGCUUAUCAGCUUGUUGGUGGGGUAGUGGCUUACCAAGGCUUUGACGGGUAGCCGGCCUGAGAGGGUGACCGGCCACAUUGGGACUGAGAUACGGCCCAGACUCCUACGGGAGGCAGCAGUGGGGAAUAUUGCACAAUGGGCGGAAGCCUGAUGCAGCAACGCCGCGUGCGGGAUGACGGCCUUCGGGUUGUAAACCGCUUUCGCCUGUGACGAAGCGCGAGUGACGGUAAUGGGUAAAGAAGCACCGGCUAACUACGUG
Molecule: ribosomal RNA, 468 nt
Filed under: uncultured bacterium
Lineage: Bacteria
Description: partial 16S ribosomal RNA
Rfam family: Bacterial small subunit ribosomal RNA
Source: RNAcentral